CGCACAUUGCGCCCCUAGGUAUUCCUAAGGGCAUGCCUGUUCGAGCGUCAUUUACAUGCUCAAGCCCUGCUUGGUGUUGGGUGACUGUCCGCUCUCGUGCGGACUCGCCUCAAAGCGAUUGGUGGCUGGUACCAUGGCCUGGAGUGCGGCAGAGAUGCGCUCCACGGCUGUCAGGUGCCCGGCGCCCGCAAGUGCCCCCCAUUUUGACCUCGAAUCAGGCAGGGAUACCCGCUGAACUUAA
Molecule: unclassified non-coding RNA, 241 nt
Filed under: Pleosporaceae sp.
Lineage: Eukaryota; Fungi; Ascomycota; Dothideomycetes; Pleosporales; Pleosporaceae
Description: partial contains 5.8S ribosomal RNA, internal transcribed spacer 2, and large subunit ribosomal RNA
Source: RNAcentral